GGAGAGGUGCCGGAGCGGCCGAACGGGCUCCAUUGGAAAUGGAGUGUCCGCCCAAAAGGUGGACCGUGGGUUCAAAUCCCACCCUCUCCG
Molecule: transfer RNA, 90 nt
Filed under: Planctomycetes bacterium RBG_16_43_13
Lineage: Bacteria; Pseudomonadati; Planctomycetota
Description: tRNA-Ser
Rfam family: tRNA
About the family: Transfer RNA (tRNA) molecules are approximately 80 nucleotides in length. Their secondary structure includes four short double-helical elements and three loops (D, anti-codon, and T loops). Further hydrogen bonds mediate the characteristic L-shaped molecular structure. tRNAs have two regions of fundamental functional importance: the anti-codon, which is responsible for specific mRNA codon recognition, and the 3' end, to which the tRNAs corresponding amino acid is attached (by aminoacyl-tRNA synthetases). tRNAs cope with the degeneracy of the genetic code in two manners: having more than one tRNA (with a specific anti-codon) for a particular amino acid; and 'wobble' base-pairing, i.e. permitting non-standard base-pairing at the 3rd anti-codon position.
Source: RNAcentral